GCCAUAUUGAAAUUUUAUUUGGGUCUCUGUUGCUUGUAGGCUAGUUGAAGUGGCUAUGAUAAGGGGAAAAAAAACGAGGACUUCUAAUGAUUGCACAUUCAAACCAUAUGGAAGAGAAGAUGACAUAAAUUCACCCAGGCAGUUGCAACAGUUUACUGUAGAGGAACAAACCAGCAGCUGAUAUCUCUUCAACCCUGAGUCCAUUAGGCAGGUGCUGAUUAACCAGAUGGAUACACAAAAUGGUGAUCCAGCAGCUGAACAAGAUGGAGGAAUUCUUCGGAAGAGGCACAGAGAGCAACGAAUAGCUGGAACAGUGCAGAAGAUUCAAGAAAUGAAACAGAGGAUGAUAGAGGCUGAGAAAAAGCAGAAUCAGUGGCUCUAUUGGAGGACUAUCCUCCUUGGCAUGGGUGCUGGUGCAGCCAUCACUGCUGGACUCUUCACAUUAUGGACUCUCCUCUUACGCUGACAACCUACAAUGAUAAUAAUUAUAAGUAUGAGACUACCACGUCACCAUUACCAUCAUGGAUGACAAGUUCAAGUUACUUUAUUUGUACCCAGAGGUAGAUUUUGUUUGCAGUAGAGUCUUCAUACACACAUAAACAAAGAAGCACAUAUCACACAUCAUCAAUUUAAGAAAGAAAUAAAAAGGCAAAUUAAAAAGUUCUUAUUAAAAUGAAAAAGUUCUUACAGGUCCACACUAUUCUUUGAUAUUGAUGUGAACUAAAAUAUGAAUAAUAAAAAGAAAAUAAAACAAAACGGUAAACGGUACUUUCCGGAUCCCA
Molecule: long non-coding RNA, 782 nt
Organism: Alosa alosa (allis shad)
Lineage: Eukaryota; Metazoa; Chordata; Actinopteri; Clupeiformes; Clupeidae
Exons: 3
Source: RefSeq, a predicted model, not a curated record